This 262-nucleotide ribosomal RNA is filed under the name Nepeta pungens. Its description in RNAcentral is "5.8S ribosomal RNA". The stretch from base 28 to 183 matches the Rfam family "5.8S ribosomal RNA". Rfam says of the family: 5.8S ribosomal RNA (5.8S rRNA) is a component of the large subunit of the eukaryotic ribosome. It is transcribed by RNA polymerase I as part of the 45S precursor that also contains 18S and 28S rRNA. Lineage: Eukaryota; Viridiplantae; Streptophyta; Magnoliopsida; Lamiales; Lamiaceae. The record is from RNAcentral.
UCCGGCCGUCUAUCUAAAUGUCAUAACGACUCUCGGCAACGGAUAUCUCGGCUCUCGCAUCGAUGAAGAACGUAGCGAAAUGCGAUACUUGGUGUGAAUUGCAGAAUCCCGUGAACCAUCGAGUUUUUGAACGCAAGUUGCGCCCGAAGCCAUCAGGCCGAGGGCACGUCUGCCUGGGCGUCACGCAUCGCGUCGCCCCCCUCCCCUCGCAAAGCAAGGGAGAGGCGGGGCGGAUAUUGGCCCCCCGUGCGUCCCGGCGCGC